RNAcentral lists this transfer RNA (71 nucleotides) under bacterium. Its description in RNAcentral is "tRNA-Trp". It matches the Rfam family "tRNA". Rfam says of the family: Transfer RNA (tRNA) molecules are approximately 80 nucleotides in length. Their secondary structure includes four short double-helical elements and three loops (D, anti-codon, and T loops). The record is from RNAcentral. RNAcentral also lists the same sequence under 3 other names.
GCGCCCUUAGUUUAAUGGUAAAACGAACGUCUCCAAAAUGUUUGUUGAGGGUUCGACUCCUUCAGGGCGCG